GCCCCAGUGGUCUAGUGAUAGAAUGAUACCCUGCUAUGGUACAAACACGGGUUUGAUUCUCGGCUGGUGCA
Molecule: transfer RNA, 71 nt
Organism: Ipomoea nil (Japanese morning glory)
Lineage: Eukaryota; Viridiplantae; Streptophyta; Magnoliopsida; Solanales; Convolvulaceae
Rfam family: tRNA
About the family: Transfer RNA (tRNA) molecules are approximately 80 nucleotides in length. Their secondary structure includes four short double-helical elements and three loops (D, anti-codon, and T loops).
Source: Rfam